UCGGGAGAUCUCUGGAUCUGAUAACAAGAAUACUCAAUUAAAUCUGAGACUUAUAUAAGGCCUAUCUAUCGGGAGAUCCCUGGAUCUGAUAACAAGAAUAAUUAACUGAAUCUGAGACUAAGAUUAAGCCUAUAUAUCGGGAUAUCUCUAGAUAUGAUAACAAGAAUACUCAAUAGGAACUGAGACUGAGAUCAAUUCUAUCUAACGGAUGAUCUCUAGAUAUG
RNAcentral lists this long non-coding RNA (224 nucleotides) under Capsicum annuum. RNAcentral's name for it is "long non-coding RNA (CANN_LNC012555)". Lineage: Eukaryota; Viridiplantae; Streptophyta; Magnoliopsida; Solanales; Solanaceae. The record is from RNAcentral.